Molecule: ribosomal RNA, 833 nt
Filed under: Parastagonospora sp. CBS 387.64
Lineage: Eukaryota; Fungi; Ascomycota; Dothideomycetes; Pleosporales; Phaeosphaeriaceae
Description: eukaryotic LSU rRNA
Rfam family: Eukaryotic large subunit ribosomal RNA
Source: RNAcentral
AACCAACAGGGAUUGCCCUAGUAACGGCGAGUGAAGCGGCAACAGCUCAAAUUUGAAAUCUGGCUCUUUCAGGGUCCGAGUUGUAAUUUGCAGAGGGCGCUUUGGCGUUGGCAGCGGUCCAAGUUCUUUGGAACAGGACGUCACAGAGGGUGAGAAUCCCGUACGUGGUCGCUAGCCUUGGCCGUGUAAAGCCCCUUCGACGAGUCGAGUUGUUUGGGAAUGCAGCUCUAAAUGGGAGGUAAAUUUCUUCUAAAGCUAAAUACUGGCCAGAGACCGAUAGCGCACAAGUAGAGUGAUCGAAAGAUGAAAAGCACUUUGGAAAGAGAGUCAAAUAGCACGUGAAAUUGUUGAAAGGGAAGCGCUUGCAGCCAGACUUGCCUGUAGUUGCUUAUCUGGACUUUUGUCCAGUGCACUCUUCUGCGGGCAGGCCAGCAUCAGUUUGGGCGGUUGGAUAAAGGUCUCUAUCACGUACCUCCUUUCGGGGAGGCCUUAUAGGGGAGGCGACAUGCAACCAGCCUGGACUGAGGUCCGCGCAUCUGCUAGGAUGCUGGCGUAAUGGCUGUAAGCGGCCCGUCUUGAAACACGGACCAAGGAGUCUAACAUCUAUGCGAGUGUUUGGGUGUCAAGCCCAGACGCGUAAUGAAAGUGAACGGAGGUGGGAACCUUUUAGGUGCACCAUCGACCGAUCCUGAUGUCUUCGGAAGGAUUUGAGUAAGAGCAUAGCUGUUGGGACCCGAAAGAUGGUGAACUAUGCUUGAAUAGGGUGAAGCCAGAGGAAACUCUGGUGGAGGCUCGCAGCGGUUCUGACGUGCAAAUCGAUCGUCAAAUUUGGG